GCGGGGGUCGCCCAGCUUGGUCAAAGGCGUGAGGCUCAGAACCUCAUUCCUUAGGGAUUCGUGGGUUCAAAUCCCACCCCCCGCACCA
RNAcentral lists this transfer RNA (88 nucleotides) under Nitrososphaera viennensis EN76. RNAcentral's name for it is "tRNA-Leu (CAG) (tRNA-Leu-CAG-1-1)". It matches the Rfam family "tRNA". From Rfam's summary of the family: Transfer RNA (tRNA) molecules are approximately 80 nucleotides in length. Their secondary structure includes four short double-helical elements and three loops (D, anti-codon, and T loops). Lineage: Archaea; Thermoproteati; Nitrososphaerota; Nitrososphaeria; Nitrososphaerales; Nitrososphaeraceae. RNAcentral also lists the same sequence under 1 other name. The record is from RNAcentral.